CCUACGGGAGGCAGCAGUGGGGGAUAUUGCACAAUGGGGGAAACCCUGAUGCAGCGACGCCGCGUGGGUGAAGAAGCGCCUCGGCGCGGAAAGCCCUGUCAGCAGGGAAGAAAAUGACGGUACCUGAAGAAGGAGCUCCGGCUAACUACGUGCCAGCCGCCGCGGUAAUACGUAGGGGGCAAGCGGUAUCCGGAUUUACUGGGGGUAAAGGGCGCGUAGACGGCAGUGCAAGUCCGGAGUGAAAGCCCGGGGCCCAACCCUGGGACUGCCGUGGAAACUGGAAAGCUGGAGAGGGGGAGGGACAGGCGGAAUGCGCGGUGUAGCGGUGAAAUGCGUAGAUAUCAGGAGGAACACCGGUGGCGAAGGCGGCUUACUGGACAGUGACUGACGUUGAGGCUCGAAAGCGUGGGGAGCGAACAGGAUUAGAUACCCUAGUAGUC
RNAcentral lists this ribosomal RNA (440 nucleotides) under uncultured bacterium. RNAcentral's name for it is "partial 16S ribosomal RNA". It matches the Rfam family "Bacterial small subunit ribosomal RNA", at positions 338 to 795 of the family's 1533-position model. The record is from RNAcentral.